RNAcentral lists this ribosomal RNA (253 nucleotides) under uncultured bacterium. RNAcentral's name for it is "partial 16S ribosomal RNA". It matches the Rfam family "Bacterial small subunit ribosomal RNA", at positions 524 to 776 of the family's 1533-position model. The record is from RNAcentral.
UACGUAGGGUCCGAGCGUUGUCCGGAAUUACUGGGCGUAAAGAGCUCGUAGGUGGUUUGUCGCGUUGUUCGUGAAAACUCACAGCUCAACUGUGGGCGUGCGGGCGAUACGGGCAGACUAGAGUACUGCAGGGGAGACUGGAAUUCCUGGUGUAGCGGUGAAAUGCGCAGAUAUCAGGAGGAACACCAAUGGCGAAGGCAGUGUCCUGGCUGGUGACUGACGCUGAGGUGCGAAAGCUAGGGGAGCGAACGGG